GGCAAAGUAGCCAAGCGGUCUAAGGCGCCAGGUUCAGGUACACCUGAAUUCUUCAUUCAACAACGAAUGUUUCCUGGUCUGAGAAAUCAGGCGCGAGUUCGAAUCUCGUCUUUGUCA
This is a transfer RNA of 117 nucleotides. It matches the Rfam family "tRNA". From Rfam's summary of the family: Transfer RNA (tRNA) molecules are approximately 80 nucleotides in length. Their secondary structure includes four short double-helical elements and three loops (D, anti-codon, and T loops).